RNAcentral lists this ribosomal RNA (387 nucleotides) under uncultured bacterium. RNAcentral describes it as "bacterial SSU rRNA". It matches the Rfam family "Bacterial small subunit ribosomal RNA", at positions 30 to 416 of the family's 1533-position model. The record is from RNAcentral.
AUUGAACGCUGGCGGCAUGCCUUACACAUGCAAGUCGAACGGCAGCACGGGAGCAAUCCUGGUGGCGAGUGGCGAACGGGUGAGUAAUAUAUCGGAACGUGCCCAGUCGUGGGGGAUAACGUAGCGAAAGCUACGCUAAUACCGCAUACGAUCUACGGAUGAAAGCGGGGGAUCGCAAGACCUCGCGCGAUUGGAGCGGCCGAUAUCAGAUUAGGUAGUUGGUGAGGUAAAGGCUCACCAAGCCGACGAUCUGUAGCUGGUCUGAGAGGACGACCAGCCACACUGGGACUGAGACACGGCCCAGACUCCUACGGAGGCAGCAGUGGGGAAUUUUUGGGACAAUGGGCGCAAGCCUGAUCCAGCAAUGCCGCGUGCAGGAUGAAGGCC